CUAGACCCAGGGCAGCGGCAGAAAGCAUGAAGACCUGGUUUGGAUUCAAGAAACGUUCCCGAGCUCAGGUGCCUGGGUGGCUCAGGCAGCUAAGCGAACGACUCUCCAUUUCAGUUCGGGGUGUGAUCUCUGGGUUGUGGGAUCG
Non-coding RNA from Canis lupus familiaris (dog), 145 nucleotides. Lineage: Eukaryota; Metazoa; Chordata; Mammalia; Carnivora; Canidae. The record is from RefSeq and is marked provisional.